AGGCUGUGAUUAUCCAAGUGGGAUAAAAUAUUAAAAGAAUAUUUGGGGAAAUUAUGGCAGCUCUUAAAAUAAGCUUUUCUAUAGUGCAAUGGUCCACAGCCACUUUUCCACAUUAGAUUCCACCAUUUUGCCCGGUGAGGUUUCCUGAUGGAGGACAAACAUGGACAAUCGGAAACAAGAAAAGAGCAAUUCCAGUCAAUAAUCUACAAGCACACCACAGGAGGAUUACUUAGUAGUUUAUGCAUAAUGCAGUUAUUUAAAAUAAUGAUCCCGAAGAUCUGUGAGACAUGGGCAAAUGUUUAUAUAACAUUACCUUAAGACAGCAAAAUAGAAGAUGAUACCUCUGAUGCAGCUAUAUAAAAAACUUAUUGUGAACAAAAAUGUAAGGGGAGAAGCAAAAGUAAUUGUGGUUUCUAGUUUCAGGGACUAUGUAAUUGGGUACGAUUCCCUCCCCCCCCCCCCCCCCCGGGAUUUCUAUAGUAUCUUUUUUGACUAAAAAAAGAAAACUUGAAUAAAAACAGUAAAAUAUAAAAAAAAUGGGCUUCUGGCCUCAGUAGCGUAGUAGUGGGGAGAAACUGGAGAAAGGUCUAUGAAUCAAGUUUAUCAGGGACCUCUAGAAAGUCCCUGUGCAAUGUUCCCAUCCUGGGAGAACUUUAUUUUCUGUAAACCUUUAUUGCAAGGUUUAUCCUCUCUUGGGAUUCCGGAUUUUUCGCUUUUGCAUUAAAAAAUAAUUGUGUGUGUGUCUGUGUUGUUUUAAUUAUUAUUUAUUGCAUUUUGGAACUGAGGCAGACAAAUCAUUUUUGGUCCCGGGCAAGUCCUUUUGAUCUUCAAAAUCUGCCCCGUCUUAGACCCAAAGCUUGUCUCCUUUCACAAGGUCAGUAGCUUCCACCGAAACGUGCGUACAGGAUCCGCUGCUUGGGGCCAUCUCAAGACUUCAAAUUUCAGUCUCGGCUUCCAGCGUGUGGGCCCGAUCGCCGAAGCCCUGCGCCCAACCGCGUCUCCGCGGGGCCGUGCGGACGGCUGGCCGGGAUCCGAGCGCAGCUCCGGCGGUCUGGAGCUGCGGCGCGCGGCCCCCGCGGGCGUGCCCGCUCUGACUCAGCUCUUCCGGCCUCCGCCAGCCGCCGUCCGCUUCCCUGCGUGUGCCGACGCCGGGCGUCACGGCUCACCAGUGCGGGAGCCGCCGGCCCCCGGGCCCUGUCUUCGCGCGCUGCGUUUCUGCCCUGCGGUGACUCAGCCGCUUCCGCCCCGGGCCGCGCGCUGAGCCGCCGCCGCCGCCGCCGCCGCCGCCCCCGCGACGCUCCUUCUUCCGCCCUUAGGUGCGGGCCUUCAAGGUCCUGACCGCUCGUUUAAGCGUCCCUGUGCGGUGCUUGGGCCCUGCAAGGUCCUUCUCCGUAAGUAGAGGAGUUGAGGCCUCAGCUCAGGAAUAUUCCUCAGCCCGCAGUGCAGAGAGUGUGUAAUCUUGACCCGGACAAUUGAGGUCUAGGUCUUCAGAGCCUGACGACCUAUAUUGGAAGUUCAGCACUGCCACUUGCAUGGCGUGUGACCCCCCAGAGAGUCACUUCAUCUAGCCAAGUCUCACUUCGCACGUGGGCGAAAUGGGGGUUUGCUUUCCUUUGAGUUGACUUCAUUCUCAGGCAGGCUUUCCCUAUGUGGGAAAAAAGAUGGCCACCAGCAGCUCCAGGUUACAUUCUACCAAUUUAGUAACCCUAGCAAAAAGCAUCUCUAUCAUUCUCAGAUGAAGAAGGAAACAAGAAGGCAGCUGUCUGCAAGUCAGGAAGAAAAUCCUCACCAGGAGCCAAAUCAGUGGGCACCUUGGUCUUGGACUUCCCAGCUCCCAAAACCGUGAGAAAUAAACAUCUGUUGUUUAAGCCACCUAGUCUAGGUAUUUUGUUAUGGUAACCUGAGCUGACUAGGACAAUGACUAAGAAAACUACUAGAGAAAAUUAGUAAUAGCCUUUGUUGUAUACUCUCUAAAAGAUGUAGAGAAAACAUCUAUGCUUUGAGAGGGAAACCUCUCAAAGGUCAUCAAUUUCUAGUUGCCAAACCCAAUGAUUCUCAUUCAAUUUCCAUUCUUCUUUGCCAUGUUGACUGUCUUUGCCUUCUUUUUGUUUUUUUAAGUUUGUUUAUUUACUUAUUUUGAGAUAGA
Leopardus geoffroyi (Geoffroy's cat) is the source of this 2146-nucleotide long non-coding RNA. RefSeq lists it as uncharacterized. The record is from RefSeq and is a predicted model, not a curated record. The transcript is spliced from 3 exons. Lineage: Eukaryota; Metazoa; Chordata; Mammalia; Carnivora; Felidae.